Non-coding RNA from Drosophila virilis, 854 nucleotides. Lineage: Eukaryota; Metazoa; Arthropoda; Insecta; Diptera; Drosophilidae. The record is from RefSeq and is a predicted model, not a curated record.
GUUUGGUUCCGACCGUUACAACGUCAAGUUCAGCGUGCGGAGAUUUUUGUGCGUCGUCGUCGCCGUCGUCGUUUACAAUUGUUUUGUUACUCUGCGCGUCGUCGUCGUCGUCGUUGUCGUUAUCGUCGUUUCUUUUGUGGUCGUCCCACAAAAAGCUUGCUACUUGCAGAAGUGCCGUUAAAGGCUCGAAGGCGGCAAAUUAAAAACAAACAAAAUUCUAUAUUGUUUGCGUUUUUUGGGCGAAAAAUUAAAAGUGUUCUAAGCCAUAUCGGGUUCAUAGAAAAUGUACAAAACUUAAACAAAAUCAGUGCACAAAUAAGAAUAAAAAUAAAAGUAAUACGCAAAAUAUAACAAAAUAUACUUAAGCAAACAAUAAAAAAGAAAAUAAGGUGAAGGAAAUUAACACGCAAAAAAAAAGUAGUUUUUUGUGCUAAACCCCCCUCGCCGCGCGAAAGUAUAUAAAAAGGCGGGCAACAUUUAUUACAAUAUCAGCUUUAACAAUAACAACAACAACCAAACGAACGGCAACAGAAUGCUAUUCGAGAAUCCAGCCGUCGCGGCCAAGCUGCCGUUUCCAUACAAUGUGCCGCCGCCUCUGCAAGCGGCGGCCGCCGCUGCCGCAGCUGUGCCAAAUUUAAGCCAGCCAGCCAGCAGCAGAGCCCCGAGUGCUACGCGAUAUUACCCUAUAAUUUUUUUUAAGUUACUUCCGCAAAUUUCAAUCAUUUAUUAGCCCACAAGUUGGUCGGAUUUUGUUUAAUUUUCAGUUAAGAUGUCUUAUUAAUAUUCAUUUAAGAGCCACAGUGGUGCAAGAGUGCAAGAAGAAGGAAAAACAAACAUUAAACUAAUAGUUAAAU